ACGGGGGGAGCAAGCGUUGUUCGGAUUUACUGGGCGUAAAGCGCGCGUAGGCGGCUUUGUAAGUUAGAGGUGAAAGCCCGGAGCUCAACUCCGGAAUUGCCUUUAAGACUGCAUCGCUAGAAUCAUGGAGAGGUUAGUGGAAUUCCGAGUGUAGAGGUGAAAUUCGUAGAUAUUCGGAAGAACACCAGUGGCGAAGGCGACUAACUGGACAUGUAUUGACGCUGAGGUGCGAAAGCGUGGGGAGCAAACAGGA
RNAcentral lists this ribosomal RNA (253 nucleotides) under uncultured prokaryote. RNAcentral describes it as "partial 16S ribosomal RNA". It matches the Rfam family "Bacterial small subunit ribosomal RNA", at positions 525 to 777 of the family's 1533-position model. The record is from RNAcentral.